RNAcentral lists this ribosomal RNA (458 nucleotides) under uncultured bacterium. RNAcentral describes it as "bacterial SSU rRNA". It matches the Rfam family "Bacterial small subunit ribosomal RNA", at positions 28 to 485 of the family's 1533-position model. The record is from RNAcentral.
GACGAACGCUGGCGGCGUGCCUAACACAUGCAAGUCAACUUGACGGAAGGAGCAAUCUGACCGUAGAGUGGCGCAAGGGUGCGUAACGCGUAAGUAACUUGCCCCAAGGUAAGGAAUAACGUCGAGAAAUCGGCGCUAAUACCUCAUAAUGCAGCGGAUCCGCAUGGAUAUGUUGUUAAAGGUUUACCGCCUUGGGAUAGGCUUGCGUCUGAUUAGCUAGUUGGUGUGGUAACGGCACGCCAAGGCUACGAUCAGUAACUGGUCUGAGAGGAUGAUCAGUCACACUGGAACUGAGACACGGUCCAGACUCCUACGGGAGGCAGCAGUGAGGAAUAUUGGGCAAUGCUCGAAAGAGUGACCCAGCAACGCCGCGUGGAGGAUGAAGGUAUUCUAUAUCGUAAACUCCUGUGAGAGCAGACGAAAGACAGAUUAUUAAUCUGGAUGACUGUAUGCUCAGA